UGGGGAAUUUUGGACAAUGGGCGCAAGCCUGAUCCAGCCAUGCCGCGUGCAGGAUGAAGGCCUUCGGGUUGUAAACUGCUUUUGUACGGAACGAAAAGGUGCCUUCUAAUAAAGGGCGCUCAUGACGGUACCGUAAGAAUAAGCACCGGCUAACUACGUGCCAGCAGCCGCGGUAAUACGUAGGGUGCGAGCGUUAAUCGGAAUUACUGGGCGUAAAGCGUGCGCAGGCGGUUUUGUAAGACAGAUGUGAAAUCCCCGGGCUUAACCUGGGAACUGCGUUUGUGGCUGCAAGGCUGGAGUACGGCAGAGGGGGGUGGAAUUCCACGUGUAGCAGUGAAAUGCGUAGAGAUGUGGAGGAACACCGAUGGCGAAGGCAGCCCCCUGGGCCUGUACUGACGCUCAUGCACGAAAGC
RNAcentral lists this ribosomal RNA (413 nucleotides) under uncultured bacterium. RNAcentral's name for it is "bacterial SSU rRNA". It matches the Rfam family "Bacterial small subunit ribosomal RNA", at positions 355 to 760 of the family's 1533-position model. The record is from RNAcentral.